Molecule: ribosomal RNA, 439 nt
Filed under: Enterobacter asburiae
Lineage: Bacteria; Pseudomonadati; Pseudomonadota; Gammaproteobacteria; Enterobacterales; Enterobacteriaceae
Description: bacterial SSU rRNA
Rfam family: Bacterial small subunit ribosomal RNA
Source: RNAcentral
GCGUAAAGCGCACGCAGGCGGUCUGUCAAGUCGGAUGUGAAAUCCCCGGGCUCAACCUGGGAACUGCAUUCGAAACUGGCAGGCUAGAGUCUUGUAGAGGGGGGUAGAAUUCCAGGUGUAGCGGUGAAAUGCGUAGAGAUCUGGAGGAAUACCGGUGGCGAAGGCGGCCCCCUGGACAAAGACUGACGCUCAGGUGCGAAAGCGUGGGGAGCAAACAGGAUUAGAUACCCUGGUAGUCCACGCCGUAAACGAUGUCGACUUGGAGGUUGUGCCCUUGAGGCGCGGCUUCCGGAGCUAACGCGUUAAGUCGACCGCCUGGGGAGUACGGCCGCAAGGUUAAAACUCAUAUGAAUUGGCCGGCGCCCCCGCACAAGCGGUGGAUCAUGUGCUUUACUUCGAUGCAACGCUAAGAACCUUACCUACUCUUGACAUCCACAGA